GCCAAAAGUCCAUCGAGUCUUUUAGAGCAGAGCCACCUCCUAAACCAGCCAAGACAGCUUCAAGGGGUCGGCAAAAAAUUGUCCGUAAAACUCAGAGUCUUGCGCACUUGGCUGCAGCCAGGAUUGAAGGUAGUCAGGGAGCAUCCACAAGCCAUGUUUGUGAUAGUAAGGUUAGCUGCCCACAUCACAGGCCUGGCAUUGAAGGCAGUGUUCCCAAGUCAGGAGAUGGUAUCAGAAUGCCUAAUGGAGAUGUUGUUUCUAUUGGGAAAAUUUUGAAGCGGCUACGUUUUGUAGAUAAAAG
RNAcentral lists this unclassified non-coding RNA (301 nucleotides) under Hevea brasiliensis (rubber tree). Lineage: Eukaryota; Viridiplantae; Streptophyta; Magnoliopsida; Malpighiales; Euphorbiaceae. The record is from RNAcentral.